GUCUCCAUAGCCCUGCUGGAGGAAAAGGAGGUCUCCAGGGAAUUCAGGGGACUCCAGCCCCACAGGAGCCCACCCAAGAAGGACACAGCCAUGCAGGAGACACGUAUAUAGUGACGCCACUAUCCAAAGACAUCUUCAAUGAUGCAGCAUCAUUAAUUCAAUGUUUUCUUUUUUUAAAAAAACUUUUGAGUCAACGUAACUUUUUCCCUGACUGUUUUGUUCCUUGAUGUUCUUGCCUUUACCUGGUGUCAAAACCCAUCUGUGAGCACAGUUAGAUAAGGCUUCUCAUUGUUCUCAGGGUGCAUAAAAUCCCUCUCCCUCCCUUCCUUCUCUCCCUCUCCCUGUGCCUUUCUCUGGCUCUCUCUUUUUCUGCCUACCUCAUCUCUACCCUUCCUCCUUCCAGAAGCUUUCAAAUACAAAUUGAGAAAGAAGAAAACUCCCCAAAUAAAACUAUACAAGCAAAUCC
RNAcentral lists this long non-coding RNA (466 nucleotides) under Homo sapiens (human). Its description in RNAcentral is "HSALNT0273190". Lineage: Eukaryota; Metazoa; Chordata; Mammalia; Primates; Hominidae. The record is from RNAcentral.